This 508-nucleotide ribosomal RNA is filed under the name uncultured bacterium. RNAcentral's name for it is "partial 16S ribosomal RNA". It matches the Rfam family "Bacterial small subunit ribosomal RNA", at positions 28 to 523 of the family's 1533-position model. The record is from RNAcentral.
GAUGAACGCUAGCUACAGGCUUAACACAUGCAAGUCGAGGGGAAACGAUAGAGAAAGCUUGCUUUUUCUAGGCGUCGACCGGCGCACGGGUGAGUAACGCGUAUCCAACCUGCCCAUCACUUGGGGAUAACCUGGCGAAAGUAAGACUAAUACCCAAAGAUAUCUCAAGAAGAAAUCUGAAUGAGAUUAAAGAUUUAUCGGUGAUGGAUGGGGAUGCGUCUGAUUAACUUAUUGGAGGGGUAACGGCCCACCAAGGCGACGAUCAGUAGGGGUUCUGAGAGGAAGGUCCCCCACAUUGGAACUGAGACACGGUCCAAACUCCUACGGGAGGCAGCAGUGAGGAAUAUUGGUCAAUGGGCGAGAGCCUGAACCAGCCAAGUAGCGUGCAGGAUGACGGCCCUAUGGGUUGUAAACUGCUUUUGUAAGGGAAUAAAGUGAGUCUCGUGAGACUUUUUGCAUGUACCUUAUGAAUAAGGACCUGCCAAUUCCGUGCCAGCAGCCGCCGUAA